RNAcentral lists this ribosomal RNA (460 nucleotides) under uncultured bacterium. RNAcentral's name for it is "partial 16S ribosomal RNA". It matches the Rfam family "Bacterial small subunit ribosomal RNA", at positions 338 to 795 of the family's 1533-position model. The record is from RNAcentral.
CCUACGGGAGGCAGCAGUGAGGAAUAUUGGUCAAUGGGCGGGAGCCUGAACCAGCCAAGUCGCGUGAGGGAAGACGGUCCUAUGGAUUGUAAACCUCUUUAGGCGGGGAGCAAUGCCGGGCACGCGUGCCCGGAGGGAGAGUACCCGCAGAAUAAGCAUCGGCUAACUCCGUGCCAGCAGCCGCGGUAAUACGGGGGAUGCGAGCGUUAUCCGGAUUGAUUGGGUUUAAAGGGUGCGUGGGCGGACUGUUAAGUCCGCGGUAAAAGCCCGGGGGUCAACCCCGGCGAGCCGUUGAAACUGGCUGUCUUGAGUGGUCGAGAGGUAUGCGGAAUGCGCAGUGUAGCGGUGAAAUGCUGAGAUAUUGCGAAGAACUCCGAUUGCGAAGGCAGCAUACUGGCGGCGAUCUGACGCUGAGGCACGAAAGCGUGGGUAUCGAACAGGAUUAGAUACCCCUGUAGUC